Molecule: ribosomal RNA, 754 nt
Filed under: Phellinus sp. DLL2010-102
Lineage: Eukaryota; Fungi; Basidiomycota; Agaricomycetes; Hymenochaetales; Hymenochaetaceae
Description: eukaryotic LSU rRNA
Rfam family: 5.8S ribosomal RNA (bases 355-508)
Source: RNAcentral
GAGGAAGUAAAAGUCGUAACAAGGUUUCCGUAGGUGAACCUGCGGAAGGAUCAUUAUCGAGUUUUGAAAGCGAGACUUGCUGCUGGCGCGAAUCAUAUUUUGCGCAUGUGCACGGCCUUCGCGCUCAAAUCCAACUCAAACCCCUGUGCACCUUAUCAUAUCGCGAGUCGAAGUUAGUAGUCUGAGGUCUGUCUUGUAAGUAAUGAGUAGAAGGGCGAAAGCGAGYCUUGCUCGUUAGGUAACCCUUCGAAAAUGAAAGCGAGCGCGUCGGGUGAAGACUUCGGCUUGUUGUUACAAAAACACCUURUAUUGUCUUUGUGAAUGGUAAUGCUCCUCGUGGGCGAAAAUAAACACAACUUUCAACAACGGAUCUCUUGGCUCUCGCAUCGAUGAAGAACGCAGCGAAAUGCGAUAAGUAAUGUGAAUUGCAGAAUUCAGUGAAUCAUCGAAUCUUUGAACGCACCUUGCGCCCCUUGGUAUUCCGAGGGGCAUGCCUGUUUGAGUGUCAUGUUUAUCUCAAACCGCUCGUCUUUCUUAAUUGAAGGGCUCGAGGUUUGGACUUGGAGGAUUACUGCCGGCCGCCUUUCGAGGGGGUCGGCUCCUCUSAAAUACAUUAGCUGGGCUUUGGCUCGCGUUUACGGUGUAAUAGUUGAUUCCGUUCACCGACGAGCGCUUGCCUAACGAGCCUGCUCCUAACCGUCCGCGUCGUCGGACAAGGAGUCGUCACCUCCUUCUUCUUGACACCUUUGACCUC